GGGAAUGUAGCUCAGUGGUAGAGCACUUGCCUAGCAUGUAUGAGGAGGCCUUGGGUUCAUUCCCU
This 65-nucleotide transfer RNA is filed under the name Ictidomys tridecemlineatus (thirteen-lined ground squirrel). Its description in RNAcentral is "Spermophilus tridecemlineatus (thirteen-lined ground squirrel) tRNA". It matches the Rfam family "tRNA". Rfam says of the family: Transfer RNA (tRNA) molecules are approximately 80 nucleotides in length. Their secondary structure includes four short double-helical elements and three loops (D, anti-codon, and T loops). Further hydrogen bonds mediate the characteristic L-shaped molecular structure. tRNAs have two regions of fundamental functional importance: the anti-codon, which is responsible for specific mRNA codon recognition, and the 3' end, to which the tRNAs corresponding amino acid is attached (by aminoacyl-tRNA synthetases). tRNAs cope with the degeneracy of the genetic code in two manners: having more than one tRNA (with a specific anti-codon) for a particular amino acid; and 'wobble' base-pairing, i.e. permitting non-standard base-pairing at the 3rd anti-codon position. The record is from Rfam by way of RNAcentral. Lineage: Eukaryota; Metazoa; Chordata; Mammalia; Rodentia; Sciuridae.